UACGAAGGGGGCUAGCGUUGUUCGGAAUCACUGGGCGUAAAGGGCGCGUAGGCGGCUUUAUAAGUCGGGGGUGAAAGCCUGUGGCUCAACCACAGAAUUGCCUUCGAUACUGUAGAGCUUGAGACCGGAAGAGGUUAGUGGAACUGCGAGUGUAGAGGUGAAAUUCGUAGAUAUUCGCAAGAACACCGGUGGCGAAGGCGGCCUGCUGGGCAGUUGCUGACACUGAGGCGCGACAGCGGUGGGGAGCAAACAGG
This 254-nucleotide ribosomal RNA is filed under the name uncultured bacterium. RNAcentral's name for it is "partial 16S ribosomal RNA". It matches the Rfam family "Bacterial small subunit ribosomal RNA", at positions 524 to 776 of the family's 1533-position model. The record is from RNAcentral.